This 424-nucleotide ribosomal RNA is filed under the name Fusobacteriota bacterium. Its description in RNAcentral is "Fusobacteria bacterium partial 16S ribosomal RNA". It matches the Rfam family "Bacterial small subunit ribosomal RNA", at positions 355 to 776 of the family's 1533-position model. Lineage: Bacteria; Fusobacteriati; Fusobacteriota. The record is from RNAcentral.
UGAGGAAUAUUGGUCAAUGGGCGAGAGCCUAAACCAGCCAAGUAGCGUGCAGGAUGACGGCCCUAUGGGUUGUAAACUGCUUUUAUGUGGGGAUAAAGUGCGUGACGUGUCAUGCAUUGCAGGUACCACAUGAAUAAGGACCGGCUAAUUCCGUGCCAGCAGCCGCGGUAAUACGGAAGGUCCGGGCGUUAUCCGGAUUUAUUGGGUUUAAAGGGAGCGUAGGCUGUCUAUUAAGCGUGUUGUGAAAUUUACCGGCUCAACCGGUGGCUUGCAGCGCGAACUGGUCGACUUGAGUAUGCAGGAAGUAGGCGGAAUUCAUGGUGUAGCGGUGAAAUGCUUAGAUAUCAUGACGAACUCCGAUUGCGCAGGCAGCUUACUGUAGCAUAACUGACGCUGAUGCUCGAAAGUGCGGGUAUCAAACAGG